RNAcentral lists this ribosomal RNA (1949 nucleotides) under human gut metagenome. RNAcentral's name for it is "bacterial LSU rRNA". It matches the Rfam family "Bacterial large subunit ribosomal RNA", at positions 1 to 1980 of the family's 2925-position model. The record is from RNAcentral.
UUAAAUGAAUAAGGGCGUAUGGUGGAUGCCUAGGCAUGUAGAGCAGAAGAAGGACGCAGCUAACGGCGAAACGCGACGGGGAGUGGUAAGCACACAUCGAUCCGUCGGUCUCCGAAUGGGGAAACCCAGCGCGAGUAAUGUCGCGUUACCCAUGAGUGAAUACAUAGCUCAUGAGGAGAGAACCCAGGGAAUUGAAACAUCUUAGUACCUGGAGGAAAAGAAAAUAAGAAUGAUUCCCUCAGUAGCGGCGAGCGAACGGGGAAGAGCCCAAACCAGCCUAAGGGCUGGGGUAGUAGGACCACGACGUGGUACAGUAACCGAUAGAAGAAGGACAUUGAAAGGUCCGCCAAAGAGGGUGCAAGCCCCGUAAUCGAAAUUGGGAGCUGACCUAGUGGAAUCCUGAGUACGGCGAGGCACGUGGAACCUUGUCGGAAGCAUCCGGGACCAUCCGGAAAGGCUAAAUACUCCUACAUGACCGAUAGUGAACCAGUACCGUGAGGGAAAGGUGAAAAGAACCGCGGGAGCGGAGUGAAAGAGAACCUGAAACCGUAUGCCUACAAGAAGUCAGAGCCCGUUAAAGGGUGAUGGCGUGCCUUUUGUAGAAUGAACCGGCGAGUUACGUUAUCGUGCGAGGUUAAGUAGAAGAUACGGAGCCGAAGCGAAAGCGAGUCUUAAUAGGGCGGCAGUACGAUGACGUAGACCCGAAACCGUGUGAUCUAGCCAUGACCAGGUUGAAGUUCAGGUGAAACUGAAUGGAGGACCGAACCGACCCCCGUUGAAAAGUUGGCGGAUGAGUUGUGGCUAGGGGAGAAAUUCCAAUCGAACACGGAUAUAGCUGGUUCUCCCCGAAAUAGCUUUAGGGCUAGCGUCGAGGGAAAGUAUAUUGGAGGUAGAGCACUGAAUGUACGAUGGCCCCAUCCCGGGGUACUGAGUAUAAUCAAACUCCGAAUGCCAAUAUAUAUACUCGGCAGUCAGACUGUGGGUGAUAAGGUCCAUGGUCAAAAGGGAAACAGCCCAGACCGCCAGUUAAGGUCCCAAAAUGUAUGCUAAGUGGAAAAGGAUGUGGGGAUGCACAGACAACUAGGAGGUUGGCUCAGAAGCAGCCACCCUUCAAAGAGUGCGUAACAGCUCACUAGUCGAGUGACCCUGCGCCGAAAAUUAACCGGGGCUAAGCGGUAUACCGAAACUAUGGCAAUGAUGUAAAUCAUUGGGUAGGGGAGCGUUCCAUGGGCAUUGAAGCUGUACCGUAAGGAGCAGUGGAGCGCAUGGAAGUGAGAAUGCCGGUGUGAGUAGCGAGAUGCAGGUGAGAAUCCUGCACACCGAUAGACCAAGGAUUCCAGGGGAAGGUUCGUCCGCCCUGGGUAAGUCGGGACCUAAGGCGAGGCUGAAAAGCGUAGUCGAUGGACAACAGGUUGAUAUUCCUGUACCCGCGCAUCGAGUGAUGGAGUGACAAAGAAGGCUAACCGGACCGGUAAAUGGAUUCCGGACCAAGCGAGGUAGGAGGCAGUCAGGCAAAUCCGGCUGUCAAUCUGAAGGCGUGAUGGGGAGUGAACAGCGCGAGCUAAGUAGCGAAGACGGCGAUGCCAGCUUUCAAGAAAAGCUUCUAGCGCUAAUCGAUGAGCGGCCCGUACCAAAACCGACACAGGUGGUCAAGGCGAGAAGCCUAAGGUGAGCGAGAGAACUGUUGCCAAGGAACUCGGCAAAAUAGCCCCGUACGUUCGCAAGAAGGGGCGCUCGAAAGAGCCGCAGUGAAGAGGCCCAAGCAACUGUUUAACUAAAACACAGCUCUCUGCAAAGUCGCAAGACGAAGUAUAGGGGGUGACGCCUGCCCGGUGCUGGAAGGUUAAGAGGAUAUGUUAGUCGCAAGACGAAGCAUUGAAUUGAAGCCCCAGUGAACGGCGGCCGUAACUAUAACGGUCCUAAGGUAGCGAAAUUCCUUGUCAGGUAAG